RNAcentral lists this ribosomal RNA (393 nucleotides) under Triticum aestivum (bread wheat). Its description in RNAcentral is "partial small subunit ribosomal RNA". Lineage: Eukaryota; Viridiplantae; Streptophyta; Magnoliopsida; Poales; Poaceae. The record is from RNAcentral.
AUGGCGGCUUCUCCUCGUCUCCCCGUCCGAGCGGUGAACCUCGGCGGGUGGCUGGUGACAGAGGGCUGGAUGUGGCCGUCCCUCUUCGAGGGCAUACCCAACAACGAUCUCCUGGAUGGCGCGCAGCUGCAGUUCAAGUCGGUAAAGCAGAACGCCUACGUGGCCGCGGAGAAUGGCGGCGGCGCGGGGCUGGUGGCGAAUCGGCCCCGGGCGUCCGGCUGGGAGACCUUCAAGCUGUGGCGGAUCAACAAGGUGACAUUCAAUUUCAAAGUGUUCGGCAACCAGUUCGUGGGCGUCAAGAGCGACGGCUCGCUGGUCGCAACGGCGGCGUCGCCGGGCCGGUCGGAGACGUUCCGAUUGGUCCGCAGCCCCGGCGACCAGUUCAGGAGAUGA